CCUACGGGGGGCAGCAGUAGGGAAUCUUCCACAAUGGACGAAAGUCUGAUGGAGCAACGCCGCGUGAGUGAAGAAGGGUUUCGGCUCGUAAAGCUCUGUUGGUAGUGAAGAAAGAUAGAGGUAGUAACUGGCCUUUAUUUGACGGUAAUUACUUAGAAAGUAACGGCUAACUACGUGCCAGCAGCCGCGGUAAUACGUAGGUGGCAAGCGUUGUCCGGAUUUAUUGGGCGUAAAGCGAGUGCAGGCGGUUCAAUAAGUCUGAUGUGAAAUCCCUCGGCUAAACCGGGGAAUUGCAUCAGAAACUGUUGAACGUGAGUGCAGAAGAGGAGAGUGGAACUCCAUGUGUAGCGGUGGAAUGCGUAGAUAUAUGGAAGAACACCAGUGGCGAAGGCGGCUCUCUGGUCUGCAACUGACGCUGAGGCUCGAAAGCAUGGGUAGCGAACAGGAUUAGAUACCCUUGUAGUC
Molecule: ribosomal RNA, 465 nt
Filed under: uncultured bacterium
Lineage: Bacteria
Description: partial 16S ribosomal RNA
Rfam family: Bacterial small subunit ribosomal RNA
Source: RNAcentral